This 2914-nucleotide ribosomal RNA is filed under the name Vibrio campbellii. RNAcentral's name for it is "bacterial LSU rRNA". It matches the Rfam family "Bacterial large subunit ribosomal RNA". Lineage: Bacteria; Pseudomonadati; Pseudomonadota; Gammaproteobacteria; Vibrionales; Vibrionaceae. The record is from RNAcentral.
GUUGUAUGGUUAAGUGACUAAGCGUACACGGUGGAUGCCUUGGCAGUCAGAGGCGAUGAAGGACGUAUUAACUUGCGAUAAGCCCAGAUUAGGUAGUAAAAACCAUUUGAGUCUGGGAUUUCCGAAUGGGGAAACCCACUAGCAUAAGCUAGUAUCGCUGCGUGAAUACAUAGCGCAGCGAGGCGAACCGGGGGAACUGAAACAUCUAAGUACCCCGAGGAAAAGAAAUCAACCGAGAUUCCGAAAGUAGCGGCGAGCGAAAUUGGACUAGCCCUUAAGCUUUUUAUGCGUCAGGUGAAACUUCUGGAAAGUUGUGCGAUACAGGGUGAUAGCCCCGUAACCGGCAACGCAUUUAAAGUGAAAUCGAGUAGGGCGGGACACGUGAUAUCCUGUCUGAAUAUGGGGGGACCAUCCUCCAAGGCUAAAUACUACUGACUGACCGAUAGUGAACCAGUACCGUGAGGGAAAGGCGAAAAGAACCCCUGUGAGGGGAGUGAAAUAGAACCUGAAACCGUGUACGUACAAGCAGUAGGAGCACCUUCGUGGUGUGACUGCGUACCUUUUGUAUAAUGGGUCAGCGACUUAUAUUCAGUGGCAAGGUUAACCAUCUAGGGGAGCCGUAGGGAAACCGAGUCUUAACUGGGCGUUCAGUCUCUGGAUAUAGACCCGAAACCAGGUGAUCUAGCCAUGGGCAGGUUGAAGGUUGAGUAACAUCAACUGGAGGACCGAACCGACUAAUGUUGAAAAAUUAGCGGAUGACUUGUGGCUAGGGGUGAAAGGCCAAUCAAACCUGGAGAUAGCUGGUUCUCCCCGAAAGCUAUUUAGGUAGCGCCUCGGACGAAUACUACUGGGGGUAGAGCACUGUUAAGGCUAGGGGGUCAUCCCGACUUACCAACCCUUUGCAAACUCCGAAUACCAGUAAGUACUAUCCGGGAGACACACGGCGGGUGCUAACGUCCGUCGUGGAGAGGGAAACAACCCAGACCGCCAGCUAAGGUCCCAAAUUACUACUAAGUGGGAAACGAUGUGGGAAGGCUCAGACAGCCAGGAUGUUGGCUUAGAAGCAGCCAUCAUUUAAAGAAAGCGUAAUAGCUCACUGGUCGAGUCGGCCUGCGCGGAAGAUGUAACGGGGCUAAGUAGUAAACCGAAGCUGCGGCAAUGCACUUAGUGCAUUGGGUAGGGGAGCGUUCUGUAAGCGGUUGAAGGUGUGUGGUAACGCAUGCUGGACGUAUCAGAAGUGCGAAUGCUGACAUGAGUAACGAUAAAGGGGGUGAAAAACCUCCUCGCCGGAAGACCAAGGGUUCCUGUCCAACGUUAAUCGGGGCAGGGUAAGUCGACCCCUAAGGCGAGGCCGAAAGGCGUAGUCGAUGGGAAACGGGUUAAUAUUCCCGUACUUCUUACAAUUGCGAUGGGGGGACGGAGAAGGCUAGGUGGGCCUGGCGACGGUUGUCCAGGUUCAAGUGCGUAGGCUGAGAAAUUAGGUAAAUCCGGUUUCUCUUAAGGCUGAGACACGACGUCGAGCUACUACGGUAGUGAAGUCAUUGAUGCCAUGCUUCCAGGAAAAGCCUCUAAGCUUCAGAUUGUAAGGAAUCGUACCCCAAACCGACACAGGUGGUCGGGUAGAGAAUACCAAGGCGCUUGAGAGAACUCGGGUGAAGGAACUAGGCAAAAUGGUACCGUAACUUCGGGAGAAGGUACGCUCUCGACGGUGAAGUCCCUUGCGGAUGGAGCUAUUGAGAGUCGCAGAUACCAGGUGGCUGCAACUGUUUAUUAAAAACACAGCACUGUGCAAAAUCGUAAGAUGACGUAUACGGUGUGACGCCUGCCCGGUGCCGGAAGGUUAAUUGAUGGGGUUAGACUUCGGUCGAAGCUCUUGAUCGAAGCCCCGGUAAACGGCGGCCGUAACUAUAACGGUCCUAAGGUAGCGAAAUUCCUUGUCGGGUAAGUUCCGACCUGCACGAAUGGCGUAAUGAUGGCCACGCUGUCUCCACCCGAGACUCAGUGAAAUUGAAAUCGCUGUGAAGAUGCAGUGUACCCGCGGCUAGACGGAAAGACCCCGUGAACCUUUACUACAGCUUGGCACUGAACAUUGACCCUACAUGUGUAGGAUAGGUGGGAGGCUUUGAAACUAGUACGCCAGUAUUAGUGGAGCCGUCCUUGAAAUACCACCCUUGUAGUGUUGAUGUUCUAACGUUGACCCCUUAUCGGGGUUGCGGACAGUGCCUGGUGGGUAGUUUGACUGGGGCGGUCUCCUCCCAAAGCGUAACGGAGGAGCACGAAGGUGGGCUAAUCACGGUUGGACAUCGUGAGGUUAGUGCAAUGGCAUAAGCCCGCUUGACUGCGAGAAUGACAAUUCGAGCAGGUGCGAAAGCAGGUCAUAGUGAUCCGGUGGUUCUGAAUGGAAGGGCCAUCGCUCAACGGAUAAAAGGUACUCCGGGGAUAACAGGCUGAUACCGCCCAAGAGUUCAUAUCGACGGCGGUGUUUGGCACCUCGAUGUCGGCUCAUCACAUCCUGGGGCUGAAGUCGGUCCCAAGGGUAUGGCUGUUCGCCAUUUAAAGUGGUACGCGAGCUGGGUUUAGAACGUCGUGAGACAGUUCGGUCCCUAUCUGCCGUGGGCGUUGGAAGAUUGAAGGGGGCUGCUCCUAGUACGAGAGGACCGGAGUGGACGAACCUCUGGUGUUCGGGUUGUGUCGCCAGACGCAUUGCCCGGUAGCUAAGUUCGGAAUCGAUAACCGCUGAAAGCAUCUAAGCGGGAAGCGAGCCCUGAGAUGAGUCUUCCCUGAUACUUUAAGUAUCCUAAAGGGUUGUUCGAGACUAGAACGUUGAUAGGCAGGGUGUGUAAGCGUUGUGAGGCGUUGAGCUAACCUGUACUAAUUGCCCGUGAGGCUUAACCAUACAACACCCAAGGGGUUU